This 370-nucleotide ribosomal RNA is filed under the name Rhodanobacter soli. Its description in RNAcentral is "bacterial SSU rRNA". It matches the Rfam family "Bacterial small subunit ribosomal RNA", at positions 74 to 446 of the family's 1533-position model. Lineage: Bacteria; Pseudomonadati; Pseudomonadota; Gammaproteobacteria; Lysobacterales; Rhodanobacteraceae. The record is from RNAcentral.
AGUAGCAUACUGUGGGUGGCGAGUGGCGGACGGGUGAGUAAUGCAUCGGGACCUACCCAGACGUGGGGGAUAACCUCGGGAAACCGGGACUAAUACCGCAUACGUCCUACGGGAGAAAGCGGGGGACCUUCGGGCCUCGCGCGGUUGGACGGACCGAUGUGCGAUUAGCUAGUUGGUAGGGUAAUGGCCUACCAAGGCGACGAUCGCUAGCUGGUCUGAGAGGAUGAUCAGCCACACUGGGACUGAGACACGGCCCAGACUCCUACGGGAGGCAGCAGUGGGGAAUAUUGGACAAUGGGCGCAAGCCUGAUCCAGCAAUGCCGCGUGUGUGAAGAAGGCCUUCGGGUUGUAAAGCACUUUUAUCAGGAAC